Molecule: ribosomal RNA, 801 nt
Filed under: uncultured bacterium
Lineage: Bacteria
Description: bacterial SSU rRNA
Rfam family: Bacterial small subunit ribosomal RNA
Source: RNAcentral
AGAGUUUGAUCCUGGCUCAGGACGAACGCUGACGGUGUGCUUUAGGCAUGCAAGUCGAACGAGAAAGCCCUUCGGGGUGAGUAGAGUGGCGAACGGGUGAGUAACACGUGGGCAACCUGCCCCUCGCAGGGGGAUAACCGGAGGAAACUCCGGCUAAUACCCCGUAAGCUUUCAGGGUCGCAUGGUCCUGUAAGGAAAGGUAGCUUCGGCCAUCCGGCGAGGGAUGGGCCCGCGGUGCAUUAGCUAGUUGGUGGGGUAAAGGCCCACCAAGGCGACGAUGCGUAGCUGGUCUGAGAGGAUGAUCAGCCACACUGGGACUGAGACACGGCCCAGACUCCUACGGGAGGCAGCAGCCAGGAAUCUUGGGCAAUGGGCGAAAGCCUGACCCAGCAACACCGUGUGGGCGAUGAAGGCCUUCGGGUCGUAAAGCCCUGUUGAUAGGGACGAAGGGCGAAGGGUUAAGAGCCCCUAGCCUGACGGUACCUUUCGAGGAAGCCCCGGCUAACUACGUGCCAGCAGCCGCGGUAAUACGUAGGGGGCGAGCGUUGUCCGGAAUUAUUGGGCGUAAAGAGCGUGUAGGCGGUUCGGUAAGUCUGCCGUGAAAACCUGAGGCUCAACCUCGGGCGUGCGGUGGAUACUGCCGGGCUAGAGGACGGUAGAGGCGAGUGGAAUUCCCGGUGUAGCGGUGAAAUGCGCAGAUAUCGGGAGGAACACCAGUAGCGAAGGCGGCUCGCUGGGCCGUUCCUGACGCUGAGACGCGAAAGCUAGGGGAGCGAACAGGAUUAGAUACCCUAGUAGUCC